UGACACGAGGUGCUGCAUGGCUGUCGUCAGCUCGUGUCGUGAGAUUGGUUGGGUUAACGUCCCGUAACGAGCGCAACCCUUGUCCUUAGUUACCAGCACGUUAUGGUGGGCACUCUAAGGAGACUGCCGGUGACAAACCGGAGGAAGGUGGGGAUGACGUCAAGUCAUCAUGGCCCUUACGGCCUGGGCUACACACGUGCUACAAUGGUCGGUACAAAGGGUUGCCAAGCCGCGAGGUGGAGCUAAUCCCAUAAAACCGAUCGUAGUCCGGAUCGCAGUCUGCAACUCGACUGCGUGAAGUCGGAAUCGCUAGUAAUCGUGAAUCAGAAUGUCACGGUGAAUACGUUCCCGGGCCUU
This 357-nucleotide ribosomal RNA is filed under the name uncultured Pseudomonas sp. Its description in RNAcentral is "bacterial SSU rRNA". It matches the Rfam family "Bacterial small subunit ribosomal RNA", at positions 1029 to 1382 of the family's 1533-position model. The record is from RNAcentral. Lineage: Bacteria; Pseudomonadati; Pseudomonadota; Gammaproteobacteria; Pseudomonadales; Pseudomonadaceae.